Molecule: ribosomal RNA, 513 nt
Filed under: uncultured bacterium
Lineage: Bacteria
Description: bacterial SSU rRNA
Rfam family: Bacterial small subunit ribosomal RNA
Source: RNAcentral
AACGAACGCUGGCGGCGUGCCUAACACAUGCAAGUCGUGCGAGAAAGUUCCUUCGGGAGCGAGUAAAGCGGCGCACGGGUGAGUAACACGUAGGUAACCUGCCCCCCAGUCUGGAACAACUAGAGGAAACUCUAGCUAAUGCCGGAUGAGACCACGAUCCCUUCGGGGGUUGCGGCCAAAGAUGGCCUCUACUUGUAAGCUAUCGCUGAGGGAUGGGCCUGCGGGCCAUUAGCUUGUUGGUGAGGUAACGGCUCACCAAGGCUGUGAUGGCUAGCUGGUCUGAGAGGAUGACCAGCCACACUGGGACUGAGACACGGCCCAGACUCCUACGGGAGGCAGCAGUGGGGAAUAUUGCGCAAUGGGCGAAAGCCUGACGCAGCGACGCCGCGUGGGUGACGAAGGCUUUCGGGUCGUAAAACCCUGUCGGAAGGGACGAAUUGCCACUUGAAUAAUAAGCGAGUGGAGUGACGGUACCUUUAAAGGAAGCACCGGCUAACUACGUGCCAGCAGCCG